GAAUUUGAUCUUGGUCAGGAUGAACGCUAGCGGCAGGCUUAACACAUGCAAGUCGAGGGGCAACGCGAGUAGCAAUACUUGGCGGCGACCGGCGCAAGGGUGCGUAACGCGUGAGCAACAUGCCCGUAUCAGGGGGAUAAUCCAGGGAAACUUGGUCUAAUACCCCAUAGUAAUUUUGUAAGGCAUCUUAUAAGAUUUAAAGCUUUGGUGGAUACGGAUUGGCUCGCGUGACAUUAGCUGGAUGGUAAGGUAACGGCUUACCAUGGCUAUGAUGUCUAGGGGUUCUGAGAGGAAGGUCCCCCACACUGGAACUGAGACACGGUCCAGACUCCUACGGGAGGCAGCAGUGAGGAAUAUUGGACAAUGGAUGGAAAUCUGAUCCAGCCAUGCCGCGUGAAGGAAGAAGGUCCUAUGGAUUGUAAACUUCUUUUGUAUGGGAGCAAUAAGGCCUACGAGUAGGUUGAUGAGAGUACCAUACGAAUAAGCACCGGCUAACUCCGUGCCAGCCGCGGC
Molecule: ribosomal RNA, 513 nt
Filed under: uncultured bacterium
Lineage: Bacteria
Description: bacterial SSU rRNA
Rfam family: Bacterial small subunit ribosomal RNA
Source: RNAcentral